RNAcentral lists this ribosomal RNA (408 nucleotides) under uncultured bacterium. Its description in RNAcentral is "bacterial SSU rRNA". It matches the Rfam family "Bacterial small subunit ribosomal RNA", at positions 30 to 439 of the family's 1533-position model. The record is from RNAcentral.
AUUGAACGCUGGCGGCAUGCCUUACACAUGCAAGUCGAACGGCAGCACGGGAGCAAUCCUGGUGGCGAGUGGCGAACGGGUGAGUAAUAUAUCGGAACGUGCCCAGUCGUGGGGAUAACGUAGCGAAAGCUACGCUAAUACCGCAUACGAUCUAUGGAUGAAAGCGGGGGAUCGCAAGACCUCGCGCGAUUGGAGCGGCCGAUAUCAGAUUAGGUAGUUGGUGAGGUAAAGGCUCACCAAGCCGACGAUCUGUAGCUGGUCUGAGAGGACGACCAGCCACACUGGGACUGAGACACGGCCCAGACUCCUACGGGAGGCAGCAGUGGGGAAUAUUGGACAAUGGCGAAAGACCUGAUCCAGCCAUGCCGCGUGUGUGAAGAAGGUCUUCGGAUUGUAAAGCACUUUAAG